AGCGAACGCUGGCGGCAGGCCUAAUACAUGCAAGUCGAACGGCUCUUCGGAGCAGUGGCGGACGGGUGAGUAACGCGUGGGAACGUUCCCUUUGGUUCGGAACAACACAGGGAAACUUGUGCUAAUACCGCAUGUGCCCUUCGGGGGAAAGAUUUAUCGCCAUUUGCGCGGCCCGCGUUGGAUUAGCUAGUUGGUGGGGUAAUGGCCCACCAAGGGGACGAUCCAAAGCUGGUCUGAGAGGAUGAUCAGCCACACUGGGACUGAGACACGGCCCAGACUCCUACUGGAGGCAGCAGUAGGGAAUCUUGCGCAAUGGGCGAAAGCCUGACGCAGCCAUGCCGCGUGAAUGAUGAAGGUCUUAGGAUUGUAAAAUUCUUUCACCGGGGAAGAUAAUGACGGUACCCGGAGAAGAAGCCCCGGCUAACUUCGUGCCAGCCGCCGCCGUAA
This 447-nucleotide ribosomal RNA is filed under the name uncultured bacterium. Its description in RNAcentral is "partial 16S ribosomal RNA". It matches the Rfam family "Bacterial small subunit ribosomal RNA", at positions 29 to 523 of the family's 1533-position model. The record is from RNAcentral.